Betta splendens (Siamese fighting fish) is the source of this 1707-nucleotide long non-coding RNA. The record is from Ensembl. Lineage: Eukaryota; Metazoa; Chordata; Actinopteri; Anabantiformes; Osphronemidae.
GAAAGGGGGAGGCAGGAGGAGGAAAGAAGAGGAGGAGAGGAGAGGAGAGGAGAGGAGAGGAGAGGAGAGGAGAGGAGAGGAGAGGAGAGGAGAGGAGAGGAGAGGAGAGGAGGAGGGAGGCAGCAGGAGGAAAGAAGAAGAGAGGAGAGGAGAGGAGAGGAGAGGAGAGGAGAGGAGAGGAGAGGAGAGGAGAGGAGAGGAGAGGAGAGGAGAGGAGAGGAGAGGAGAGGAGAGGAGAGGAGAGGAAGGAGGCGAGAAGGGGGGAGGCAGGAGGAGGAAAGAAGAGGAGGGAGGGGAGGAGAGAGGAGAGUGAGGAAGGAGGCGAGAAGGGGGGAGGCAGGAAGGAGGAAAGAAGAGGAGGGAGGGGAGGAGAGAGAGCAGAGGAAGGAGGCGAGAAGGGGGGAGGCAGGAGGAGGAAAGAAGAGGAGGGGGGGGAGACGAGAGGAGGGUAAAGGAAGGAGGCGAGAAGGGGGGAGGCAGGAGGAGGAAAGAAGAGGAGGGAGAGGAGGAGAGAGGAGAGAGGAAGGAGGAAGAAGGAGGAGGAGGGGGAAGGAGGAGGAAAGAAGAGGAGGGAGGGGGAGGAGAGAGGAGAGGGAGGAAGGAGGAGAGAAGGAGGAGAAAGGAGGAGGAGAAGAGAGAAAGAAGAGAGGGGAGGGGAGGAGGACCGAGGAACGGAGAGGAAGGAGGAGAGAAGGGGGGAGGCAGGAGGAGGAAAGAAGAGGAGGGAGGGGAGGAGAGGAGAGAGGAGGGGAGAGAAGAGGAAGGAGGCGAGAAGGGGGGAGGCAGGAGGGGGAAAGAAGAGGAGGGAGAGGAAGAGAGAGGAGAGAAGAGGAAGGAGGCGAGAAGGGGGGAGGCAGGAGGGGGAAAGAAGAGGAGGGAGGGGAGGAGAGAGAGAGGAGGAGGAGGAGAGAGGGGGGAGAAAGGGGGGGGAGACAGGAGGAGGACAGAAGAGGAGGGAGGGGAGGAGAGGAGGGUAGAGGAAGGAGGCGAGAAGGGGGGAGGCAGGAGGAGGAAAGAAGAGGAGGGAGGGGAGGAGAGGAGAGAGGAGGGGAGAGGAGAGGAAGGAGGCGAGAAGGGGGGAGGCAGGAGGAAGGAAAAGAAGAGGAGGGAGGGGAGGAGGAGAGGAGGAGAGUGAGGAAGGAGGCGAGAAGGGGGGAGGCAGGAGGGGGAAAGAAGAGGAGGGAGGGGAGGAGAGGAGAGAGGAGGGGAGAGAAGAGGAAGGAGGCGAGAAGGGGGGAGGCAGGAGGGGGAAAGAAGAGGAGGGAGAGGAGGAGAGAAGUAGAGGAGGAAGAAGGAGGAGGACAGAGGACCGCAGAUGAAGAGGGAGGAGAGAAGAGGAGAAGGGAGGAGGAGGAAAGGGGAAAGAAUAGGUGGAGGGAGGCAAAGGACAGGGGACAGAAGGAGAAGAGAAUAGGAUGGAGGACAGAAGAAGAGGAGGAGGAAAGAAACAACAAAAGCAGACAAACGGUAAUUUUGGAGCCCAUCACACAUAGGAAGGAACAAAACAGCGUUAAGGCACCAGUGAAAGCGAGGGGAGGAUGGGCUCGGCUCACUUCGGUUCUGUUGACCCGCUGCUCUAUGGCCAGGCCACUCGGGCCCGUGGGCUCCGUCUGGACCUCCUGUAGGCCAAAGGUGGCAUUUGAGCGGGGGGAGGAGGACGGCACCGGCUGGGCCUGGGGCUCCGGACUGGGAUGCUCCAUGGAGUAG